AUAUAUAUAUAUAUAUAUAUAUAUAUAUAUAUAUAUAGUUUAGCUGGAGUACUACCGAUAGUAAACGAGUUUUGUUACCACUCAAUUAUAUUUUAUGAUAGAGUUUUUAAAUAGACGAUCGGCAUCAUUGAACAUAAUAUAUACCAUUUGAAGCAUUUAGAAACAAAUUUUCAAUUUUUUUCGGCAUCAUUGACCUAAUUAUAAUAAAAAAGUUUCAAAAUUUAUAAAUUUAAUAUUAGAUAUGAAACGUUUUUUCGUUUAACGAUAUAAAACUAUCCAAAUUAAUUAAAUUUUGGUUAGAAAAUUUUUUAAACUAUUUAGAAUAAGAUUUAUAUUCUCGAUCUUGAUUACAAAAUUUCUAUCAUCAUUUUUUAGAAGAUAUUCAUUUUCAACCAUUCAUUUUUACGUCCACUUAAUGGACAAGAAAAUAAUAUCAAAAAAAUAUGAAAUUUGGUUUUUAAAUACUUUAAGUAAUAUACAUCAUAUUCAAUGAUGUCGAUCGUUGAUUUGAAGGCUCCAUCAUCGAAAACAAAUAGGUAGCAACAGAACUCGUUUUCUACUGAUAGCAUUCCAGCUCAACUAUAUA
This 586-nucleotide long non-coding RNA is filed under the name Ananas comosus (pineapple). Its description in RNAcentral is "long non-coding RNA (ACOM_LNC020397)". The record is from RNAcentral. Lineage: Eukaryota; Viridiplantae; Streptophyta; Magnoliopsida; Poales; Bromeliaceae.